CCUACGGGGGGCAGCAGUGAGGAAUAUUGGUCAAUGGGCGCGAGCCUGAUCCAGCCAAGUAGCGUGAAGGAUGACUGCCCUACGGGUUGUAAACUUCUUUUAUAAAGGAAUAAAGUGAGGCACGUGUGCCUUUUUGUAUGUACUUUAUGAAUAAGGAUCGGCUAACUCCGUGCCAGCAGCCGCGGUAAUACGGAGGAUCCGAGCGUUAUCCGGAUUUAUUGGGUUUAAAGGGAGCGUAGAUGGGUUGUUAAGUCAGUUGUGAAAGUUUGCGGCUCAACCGUAAAAUUGCAAUUGAUACUGGCAGUCUUGAGUACAGUUGAGGUAGGUGGAAUUCGUGGUGUAGCGGUGAAAUGCUUAGAUAUCACGAAGAACUCCGAUUGCGAAGGCAGCUUACUAAUCUGCCACUGACAUUGAUGCUCGAAAGUGUGGGUAUCAAACAGGAUUAGAUACCCGAGUAGUC
RNAcentral lists this ribosomal RNA (460 nucleotides) under uncultured bacterium. RNAcentral's name for it is "partial 16S ribosomal RNA". It matches the Rfam family "Bacterial small subunit ribosomal RNA", at positions 338 to 795 of the family's 1533-position model. The record is from RNAcentral.